RNAcentral lists this unclassified non-coding RNA (354 nucleotides) under soil metagenome. Its description in RNAcentral is "partial contains 5.8S ribosomal RNA, internal transcribed spacer 2, and large subunit ribosomal RNA". The stretch from base 1 to 120 matches the Rfam family "5.8S ribosomal RNA", at positions 35 to 154 of the family's 154-position model. The record is from RNAcentral.
GAUGAAGAACGUAGCGAAAUGCGAUAAGUAAUGUGAAUUGCAGAAUUCAGUGAAUCAUCGAAUCUUUGAACGCACAUUGCGCCCGCCAGUAUUCUGGCGGGCAUGCCUGUCCGAGCGUCAUUUCAACCCUCGAACCCCUCCGGGGGGUCGGCGUUGGGGAUCGGCCCUCCCUUAGCGGGUGGCCGUCUCCGAAAUACAGUGGCGGUCUCGCCGCAGCCUCUCCUGCGCAGUAGUUUGCACACUCGCAUCGGGAGCGCGGCGCGUCCACAGCCGUUAAACACCCAACUUCUGAAAUGUUGACCGCGGAUCAGGUAGGAAUACCCGCUGAACUUAAGCAUAUCAAUAAGCGGAGGA